Molecule: ribosomal RNA, 533 nt
Filed under: Nigrospora sphaerica
Lineage: Eukaryota; Fungi; Ascomycota; Sordariomycetes; Amphisphaeriales; Apiosporaceae
Description: eukaryotic LSU rRNA
Rfam family: 5.8S ribosomal RNA (bases 174-327)
Source: RNAcentral
CCUGCGGAGGGAUCAUUACAGAGUUAUCCAACUCCCAAACCCAUGUGAACUUAUCUCUUUGUUGCCUCGGCGCAAGCUACCCGGGACCUCGCGCCCCGGGCGGCCCGCCGGCGGACAAACCAAAACUCUUGUUAUCUUAGUUGAUUAUCUGAGUGUCUUAUUUAAUAAGUCAAAACUUUCAACAACGGAUCUCUUGGUUCUGGCAUCGAUGACGAACGCAGCGAAAUGCGAUAAGUAAUGUGAAUUGCAGAAUUCAGUGAAUCAUCGAAUCUUUGAACGCACAUUGCGCCCAUUAGUAUUCUAGUGGGCAUGCCUGUUCGAGCGUCAUUUCAACCCCUAAGCACAGCUUAUUGUUGGGAACCUACGGCUUCGUAGUUCCUCAAAGACAUUGGCGGAGUGGCAGUGGUCCUCUGAGCGUAGUAAUCUUUUAUCUCGCUUCUGUUAGGUGCUGCCCCCCCGGCCGUAAAACCCCCAAUUUUUUCUGGUUGACCUCGGAUCAGGUAGGAAUACCCGCUGAACUUAAGCAUAUCAAU